GAAUGCUGAUGGAUGCUCAC
This 20-nucleotide non-coding RNA is filed under the name Rattus norvegicus (Norway rat). The record is from RNAcentral. Lineage: Eukaryota; Metazoa; Chordata; Mammalia; Rodentia; Muridae.